Molecule: RNA transcript, 645 nt
Organism: Trachemys scripta elegans
Lineage: Eukaryota; Metazoa; Chordata; Testudines; Emydidae
Gene name: molybdopterin synthase sulfur carrier subunit-like
Exons: 5
Source: RefSeq, a predicted model, not a curated record
CCCAGCCCAGUGGGCGGGCCGGGAGGCAGGGCCAGCCGGCUGGCUCCGCGCAGCUGCUCGGGCCGGGCGCAGGCGCAGCAGCCUGUUCCCCUUCGGGAAGCGGGUUCCGACCCGCAACGCUCCGUCAAUGAGCUGCGAGGUUGUUGCGCUGUACUUUGCCAGGAGCGCUGAAUUGGCAGGUGUUCGCUCUGAGAUUAUUUCUGUACCGCAACAAUUAACCUCUCUACAGCUGUGGGAAGAAAUUGUUAAAAGGCAUCCAAGACUUGCUGCCAUUCAGGAUCAAGUGGUUUUCGCUGUUCGCCAGGAAUACGUGCUUCUUGGUGAUCAGCUUCUGGUCCUGCAGUCAGGUGACGAGGUUGCCAUUAUCCCACCUAUCAGCGGGGGCUAACUCCAGGCAAACACGCUUAGGGUCUAGUGAUUUGUGGAUGACUUUCCCCUUCUGCUAGUACUCUCUGAGAAGGUGUAACACGCAUCCCCUGCAGUAGACAGCCAUGAUGCUGAUACUGAGGUUGGAACAGCUUUAAUGGGAGAGACUAAGGGAGGCCCAUGUCAGACUAUCCCAUAGCCUAGUAGCUACAGCACUCACUGGAGAGGUGACAGAUUCCUCUUCAAAUCCCUUUUUCCCUCAGGCGGUGGGACUCCUAC